This is a long non-coding RNA of Poecile atricapillus (Black-capped chickadee), 8737 nucleotides long. RefSeq lists it as uncharacterized. NCBI's taxonomy places the organism in Eukaryota, Metazoa, Chordata, Aves, Passeriformes, Paridae. The record is from RefSeq and is a predicted model, not a curated record. The transcript has 3 exons.
UAAGGAAAAAGGCUAAAAAUGAAAAGGGUUUUAAAUGUUAAACCAAAUGACUCGAAACCUGUCCUGAGGGAGCAGCCAGUGGCGCUCAGGUAAAAACUGCUCUCAGCCCUUCGUUGAGACCCAGAGGAAGAAGUAACCCAGCAUGGAUCUGCCAGACAGUGUUUAUUUCAGCUGCUAGAGCUGAUCCUGUCUGUGUGACAAACGCAGCACAGGAAUGCUUUCAAUCCCACCAAUAUUUGUAUUGAUGUUGGUUUUACCACCUGGACAUCCCUGUCAACAAGGUGAAUAUUUUUUGCCCCCGAGCAGUUUCACGCAGGUCCCGAAAUGAGCAGCAUUCCUGGGAUGUGGAAUUGUGUCUUAUGAAGCAGCAGCUGCUACUCAGGAAUGAAAUUCCAAAGCCAAUUCCCCAGGCCCCAAAGGUUGGGGUUUGUUCUCUGGAGUAAUGCACAAACGUGGAACAGAGGGCACCAGGUGCAGAAGCUGCCUCCUCCCAACCCCAAACUGCAGCCACGCAGGAAGGAAUUUCAGAGGUUUAUAUAUAUAUUUACAUAUUUAUUUAUAGAGGUUUGUAUGGCAGUCACAGCUACAGCAGCUCACUCUCUCCCCGUCCAUCAGUUAAAAAUCCUGGCUGUGCUAUCACCUUGCUGCUGAUGAAUAUAUUUCCCUGUGCUUCAGUAGUUUCCAGAGCAAACAUCUUGUUUAGCAUGGCAGUAGGGCACCCAGAAACCUCCUGAAAUGUGGUUUUCAUUUCAAAAUGCCCUGUGUUGCUACAGGAGCUAUCAGUUAACCCAGGAACAUGUCUAAGUACCCCAUUUAUCUUCUGUUUUAUGAGAUGGGAUUGAGAAACUGCUCUCUGGAAAUGCCCAUGCAAACUUCUUCAUACAGUAAUUAAAGUAUUUGUGUAAUGGGAUAAAACCCUCACAGAGACCAAGCUGAUCCAGCCCAGUAUCCUGUUUCCAAAAAGCAUGGGAAGCUCAGCCUUUUCACUGGAUGUUCUCCCAGAUUUCAAUUAUCCAUGAUUUAAGGACUUGGAAGAUGAGGGUGACUCCAAACCAUUUCAUUUAGCAGAUGUGGGAAGACCUACACCUCAGGAACAGAAUCCCUUUUAGAUCCCUCUUAAUAUUUUAGACUUCAUAGUGUCCUACUUUAGGGAGUCUUUACUUUGUAUUUGUUACAUAAUGGUUAUUUCUAGAUAGAAGGGGAGCUACGACACUGGCACAAAGACAUUUAUUUCCAUGUUCCAGUGCAAUACUGACACCUCAUUAAAAGACAGAGCACAGCAAUGACAUGAAUCAGUCCCCCAAAGACCAUCUCUCAUCUUGUAACCAGUCUUUCUAACCCAAAACAGAAUCAAAGCAACUAUUUAAUAAAUAGACAUAAGAAUAAAGCUGGAAACUGAAAACCACAGGGUUUAUCACCCGCGAUUCAUUCCAGCAGGAGACUUUGCUUGUGUUAGAUCCUUAGUGCUUUCAGAACCCCUCAAAUUGUUAGGAACAGAAUAUAAAAGAUAAAUUGACAUUCAGUUAAAGAGGAACACAUUCAUUUCCAAACUGAGCCUCUGGUCAUUUCAUGAUACAGCACAGGAGCUACUUUAUUCUAAGAGAUUUUAAGGAAAGUGAAGUCAAGACCUACACUGCACCUUAAGCAGUGUAAUCCAAGUAAUACCAAAGUAGAAUUCCUCACAUUUAUUGUUCACUGCUGAGGUUGGAUGAUUCAUCACAUUUAAAUUCUUUCACAUGAACUUCCUAACUUCCUUCUUUUAUCUGAUAUCAUCAUAUCUGAAAAGCAUUCAUUUUUGUCCAAAAAAGAAACUGAAUUAUGCUGUGUGGUACCUAACAUGCAAUAAAACAUGCAGAAAACAUGAAGUAAAAAAAAAAAAAAAGGAACAGUCAAUCAAACCAAGAAGAUGAAGCAUUUUUACUACAGAAAAAUGGCAUCUCUAACAAUAUAUUUGUUUCAUGUUUCCUAUUUUUACUUUCUCCCCCUCACCAUCUGCCUCUGUUCUGCUUUUUUCUUUCAAAAAGCAUCCACCUCAUUUCGCUUCACUCACCUCAUCACAGGAUUCAGGCUGAAAUAAAACACAAUCCCCAGUGCCAAAGCCAAAAAAGCACUACCUCUUCAUAAAAGACCUUCCAAAAAUAACUCUCCUUUUUCUUACAGUAGCUGUAGAUCUUUAAGAGAAGCAGUCCAUCUCGAUUCAGUGCUUUGCUGCAAACCCUCUAGGCAAAGGAACUUGAGCUUUUUAGCCCCUGGUAGCUCUGGGUUGUACCUGUUCUUUCAGUCCUGUUUUUUUUUUGGCAAAUCUUCCCUUGUUCUUUUGGUAGCCAGCAGUGAAUCCCACAAGAGUGAGAUCCCGUAGUGUGGAGAAAGAAGAUGAGUUACAGAAUGUGUAGUUCUUGAGCAAGAACUACUCCUUUCAUCAUGGAAGCACCUCAGUUCUGCCCAGGGGGAUUUGCUGUUCUGUGGAGCAGAGUCCCACUGCUUUGCUUGAGACACCCUACAUGAAAAUAAAACCAUUUUGGGGAGACAAUCCUCAGAAAGAAAUGGUGAGAAAUAGAGACUGUCCAUCUUUGACAUGUGUUCCAUGCAGUGGCCAGGAGAGCCUGGCAGUGCCAGAACCUGCACUGCGCUGUGUGCAGAGGAAGUGAAGGAUAAUGAGGAAAAAAUGGAAUAUAAAAAGGUACCAACUUGUGGCAGCACCAUAAUCUGAGUGUGGAGGCAAGUCCCUGCAGGGCCAGAAAGGUCAGAACAAACGCUCUCAUUUGUGAGUCAAUCCUCUGCAGCAGCCUUAGUGAAUUUGUUACUGCAGUCAGUGCAUGGACUAAGGAAAACUUCUGGGCCCAGGCAGGGUAGAGCCCUGAGCCUCUGGAUGUCUGGGGGGAACCUGUUCUGUGCAGUGCAGUGAGGAGCUGAGCCAGGUCAGACACCCUCCCAAGGCACCCAGUGCCCAUCCUCCUGCCUUCCAGGCCUGCGGGACCUUGGCACGGGAGCAGCAGUAAGGAGUAAAGGACCCGCUGAUAUCCUGGCUGUGUCUCUGGGGGUCCUGGGAGCUGGUGGGGUGCCAGAGGGGGCUCCCAGAAUCACAGAAUCAUUUACACUGGAAAAGCCCCUGAGACGAUCACGUCCAACCUGUGACCAAACACCGCCUUGUCAACCAGGCCAUGGCACUGACUGCAAUGUCCAUCGGAACACGUCCAGAGAUGGUGACUCCUCCCUGGACAGCCAAUUCUGAUGUUUAAUCACUCUUUUCACGAAGAAAAUCUUCCUGAUGUGCAUCCUAAACCUCCCCGAGGUGCCGCUCCCGGCUCCUCCUGCCACAACUGACCCUGCCCUGUCAGGGGAGCGUGGUCACCCCUAAGCUUCCCCUUCCAGGCUUGGAGUGACGAGAGGGAGAAAAAAAUAUGGAACGCUUCACGAAUUUGCGUGUCAUCCUUGCGCAGGGGCCAUGCUAAUCUUCUCUGUAUCGUUCCAAUUUUAGUAUAUGUGCUGCCGAAGCGAGCACGAAUUCUCACCUCCACCCGUCGCCAUUUGUACCCACAGGAUGCGGCUUCCGCAAGGUCAGGGUGACCCGGGAGGGACAAUCCGGCGGUGCCGGUGGGAGGAGCAGGAGCCGUGCACAGCAGCCCGGCCGUACCGAGGGUCUGGCGGGCAGGAGACGGCGGAAAAGGGGGAACAGACCCCAAAUCCGGCCUAACCCGGGUUAUGCAAAUAGCGCUGCUGUAUGCAAAUGAGCGCAAAGCACUCUGGGACGGGGCGGUACCGGGGCUCCUCACGGGGCCGCUUUGUAUCGACAACCCCCGGCGGGUUUCAGAGUCGUGUUCAGCCGUGCGCAGCUGGGAAUGUCACACUUUUCUGUGGUGAAACAUCGGUGGUUUGGGUUUAUAGUAGUUAAUAUUGCUGACCUGUGGCGGUAUGCGGGUGGCUGGAGCCAUUUGUCCCCUCACGGAAUCCCAGAAUCGAUGGGGUUGGAAGGCCCGGCUGGAGAUGACAGCCCCGUGCCAAGGCAGGGUCGCCUGGAGCAGGUGACACAGGGACGUGAAUUGGAAUGGCUGCAGCGAGGGAGACUGCACCGCUGCCUGGACAGCCAUUCCACUGCUCUGCCGCCCUCAGUGCAGGGAGCCAGGCUUGUGAGGCGCUUCUAAGGCGGGGCAGGAGUAACAGUUCGCAAGUGCAGCAGAGUGGCGCAGCGGAAGCGUGCUGGGCCCAUAACCCAGAGGUCGAUGGAUCGAAACCAUCCUCUGCUAGCUGUACAGCUGGUGCGAGGGAAGGACGGACAGAGCGCUGCGCAGUGAGAUGCCUGCAGCCUUUCUUCUAGUGCCCAUAAUAAAUAGAAUUGCUUCGUGCUAACUAAAUUGAAACUGUUACUAAAGUUAUUAUUAGAAGCAAUCAAAAGAAUCAGUGUUACAAGGCAGAUGCAUCCCUUUACAGAUGUUACAUGUUAAAAUUGAGGUACAGGAUGUAGUUUAGAAGAUCAGUGAUGUCCAAAGGUGAAAACGGCCUUGAGAUGGACAAAAUUAGAACGACUUUAGGCAUUGGGCCUAAAAUUCAUUAAAUAGAAGACUAAUUAGUGGACUUAGAUAACACAACGCUUAGUACACACACAUAAACCUGUGAGGUUAUCCAGAGGACAACGAGGAAGAGGAGAAGCCUUUGCCAAAAGACCACGAAAAGAAGACUGGAGACCCCCUAACAAUAAGUGAGGCAUGUGCUGUGAAGAAAAGUGAUGUAAAGCAAAAAAAAAAAAAUCGUAAAUCGGAGGAAACUUACGAGAAACAUUAAUGAAUAUGUAUAAGCAUACAGUAUAUAAGUUUAGCUUGAAGUGCUUUGUUUUGUACGUGAGGCAGGGUGGGAAGCCCUCCCUGUACCCCGGUCGGUUUUGCUUAUGCUUUAAUCAUCCGUAAAUUUUUUUACAAAAUUGUAUUCUUUUACUAAACAGUAUUCUUUUUUACCAAAUUACUAUUCAAUUCACUAAAUUGUAUUUAUUUUAAAUUAAACUGUUAUUAAGUCAAGGGACCUAGUUAUCAAAAUUCUGAUUUAAUUUCUAACAUGCCGUUUGAAGGUCUGUAGAGUCACAGGAUGGGUUGGGUGGGAAGGAAGCCUUAAAGACCAUUUAGUCCCACCCCCUGCCAUGGUUAGGGACACACCAAGUUACUCAGAGCCCCGUCCGACCUGGCUUUGAAUGUUUCCAGGGAUGGGGCAUCUUGGGCACCCUCUGCCAGUGCCUCAGCACCCUUGUUGGAAAAGAUUUUUCUUUAUCUUUCAUAAGUAAGCUCCCUUAUAUACUGAAAUGUCACAAGGUCCCCCAGGAUCGUUCUCUGCUCCAGGCUGAGCAGCCCCAGCUCUCUCAGCCUUUCCUCAUACAAGUGCUCCUCUGAGCAUCCCUUCGUCUGACCCGCUCCAGGGGAUCCACGCCUUUAAUUAGGCAGCAAAAACUCCUUGCACACAUCUGUCGUUUUCCCCUGCCUUGCUGGAUGAAAUGAAACAUUGUGGCAAUGCCGAACACAGCAAGCAGGCUCCCAGCACCAAAUGCAGGGAAGCAAAAUAAGUCCACGAAUGUGAAAACUUGAUGUUGAAAGUCUGUAUUCGGCCUCUGGAUGGCAUGAUCUGAGGAAAAAGGCUCCGUGAAUGUAUUUAAUGCCACAGUGCUUCUCAGAGGGCGUUGUUUUCAGGGCUGUAGAACGUGAGUAAUAAACAGUGGAAUUCUUACAUGGAAUGAGUACGUGCGGAAUGCAGGGAAGAAGAACAAGGCAGGGGUUUUGUUGACAGAUCCAUAAAAAUCGUGGAAUGUUUUUUCCCUGCAUUUGGCUCAGUAGGCGCGGCUCGGGGGGUCGCAUUGUGCGGUUCCAUGGUGUAAUGGUUAGCACUCUGGACUCUGAAUCCAGCGAUCCGAGUUCAAAUCUCGGUGGAACCUGAAAGUUUUUGCCGCAACCACAUUUCUUUACUGCUCAGAACCAUGGAGAAUGGCUUAAAGGCGUUUCGCAUGGGCUGUUAGAGUGCUCUAAACAUCCCAUGCCUCGUAAAAAACGCACCUAAAGUAGAAAAGUAACCAGAGAGUUUUCCUGGUUCAUCCCCCAUUUAUUAUUUAUUGCAUCCAGGUUAGUACUUUCUGACAAAUUAUCUGAAGAAUCUCAGACAUGUCACAGCAUUAUUGUUUCCCUUUUUCUCUGUGCUUUGAAUCGCCUGUACGGAAACACAGUUCUAAAUUCUGCAUCAGCAAAGCUGGCGGCAGCUGCUGAGCUCUGCAGGGAUGAGGUUUUGGGGUGUCUCUGACAGCAGAUGUUCGUGUUUACUUUCUGCCCUCAAUAUGCCAGGGGUGACCUUAUUGUGACCUUCUAGUGGCCAAACGGGGAGCUGGAGAGGGACUUUGGACAAAGGACUGGGGUGGCAGGACAAGGGGGAAUGGCUUCACUCUGCUGGAGGGAGGAUUAGUGGGAUAUUGGGAAGGAAUUCUUCCCUUUGAGGGUGGCGCGGUCCUGGCACAGGGUGCUCAGAGAAACUCGAUGCUCCAUCACUGGCAACAUUCAAGGUCAGGCUGGGAUAGUGGAAGGUGUCCCUGCAACCCAAACCAUCCCACGAUUCUCUGAAGACACCGAAUACCGCAGAAGCUCGGGACAAACACGGAUAUUUGGGUUAAAUUGCCGCCGGUCACUCCGGACACAAACGCAGGGCCGGCAGCGAGGCCCCGCGGCUUUGAUUGCUGUGGAUUAAUUGUGGGGGCUGGCGGAGGCCAGAGGCACCGCCCGGUUCUAUGGUGUAAUGGUCAGCACUCUGGACUUUGAAUCCAGCGAUCCGAGUUCAAAUCUCGGUAGAACCUGCCCCAGGUUUGUGUUUUUGUGCCCCCCGGCUCAGGGACAGACCGGACCGCGAUGAAGAUCAGCUCAGCAACGCAGGCUGUCCUCGACCUUCAUGUGCCACGCUCCUCCCAAUUUCCUUCAACGCAAUCAAUUUGACCAAAGGCUUUAUAUAAUUCUUACUGCUUUUUAAUUAGGGGUAAUUCAUUGUAAUUUCGUUGUGCUUCAUUGUAUUUUACUGUUGUUUUACAUUAAGUACUUUGUGGGGGGAGGAAAAAAGCCAUUUACACUGUGGAACUUUAAAAUUUGUACAUUAUUUUCCAGAUGCACCCAACUGCUCACUUGAAAAAUAAGGGCAGAAAUGCAAUGUUUUUGGAUAAACUCUGCACAAUUUAAAUGGAUAUUCCCUCUGCUUCAUUGACACAAACCUCCAGUAGUUAUUUUUCGUUUCCAGAGCAGCUAAGGACAUCUUAAUACCUUGGCUCCCCCUCCUCCAAACCUGUCCUACGAGUCACUUGUUUACACAGCAACAGGAACAAGCCUGCUCUGUUUAACAACUCCUCCUCCUCCUCUGGCCAGGUAACCCUGCCUUGCUGGCCCUUGAACAAAAACACAGAAUUCCUUCAAAUCAAGUUAUGAUUCAGUAGAAAUCCAGGUCCCAACUGCUCAGGAGAACAUAUGGAAAUGUUUGCUGAAUUCAUUAAAUUUUCACACAGCCUAGUGGUGAAAGAAAUUCCUUGUCUAUGUCAGGGCUGAUUUUCAUCCUUUCCUCAACUGUUGGAUCAGGUCACACACGAACAAAGACCUUUUCCAGUGUUUUAACUUACUCCAUGCAGUAACUUUAGCACAAGCAGCCACUCUCACAGGCUGGCUUCAGGCACCAACAUCCUUCUCCCAGGCACAAGAGCUUUACAGCCACAGGGGCCUGUCUGCCUUGCAAGGAAUCAAUAUACUGACAAUUCUAGAGAGCAAAUCACCAUUUCCAACAGCAAUCUGGCAACUUCCCCCUUUCAUUUAGCAGAGUUUCAGCUGCAGCUGAAAAGUCCAACAGAUGUGCCCCAGACAAACCCCCUGGGUAAAACCAGGUCUACUUAAAGAAACUUAUACAUGGAAUGAGACAGAAUCAGCACAGAAUUGAGCACUGAGAUUUAUUCACAAUUCAUGGUCAUGCUGCACUUGAAAACAAAGCACCAAAAUUUGGGUAACUGAACAUCAUCCAGGUAUAAUCCAGCUGAGAGUGCUGCAUUUGGGUAUCUGCUUUACUCUGGGGGACAGCACAGCCAGGGCUGCUCGGGUCCUUGGCCACAGGGGACACACACAGGUGCUGUGGCUGAGGGAAUCCUCCUGAACCAGGCAAAGGGACUUCAAAACGUGCUGGAACAAUCUCAGAGCAAAGAACCAUAACCCCAAGAAUCCAGUAUCUCAUGCUCAAGUCAAGAACAUCCCAGGACAAUUUUAUUAAUUAAUUUACUAUGUCCAAUUCCUUUCCCACAAUCCCUCCAGUUUAUAAUUUUCUAAAAAUCCUCUUGUCUCAGCACAACAUUCAAGGCAGAGGUAAAGCACUAUGGCUGUGGCCACGUCAGGAGCUUUUCCUGUUGCUGAAAAGACAGUAGCAGUAGAAAUUAUUAGGGAAUCAGGGAAUUAAAUGGUACUGUAAUUUCACAAGUGUGGCUACAAACUACACGUAUUGUCAAUGUUAAUGGACUUUCCAACUGCAGAUUUAAAAGCCAGAAUCAAACCUUAGGCAAGUAUUUCACUAUAUAUGAAGCUGCAACAAGGUUUUCUGAUAUAGGUUAAAAAUUCAGUGAAAGAAGGGGGAAAGAUUAAUGGGAUGGAUCUUUCCUUUUAAACUGGCACUUUAAAGAAAAGGCCUUUUAAAAAUGAAAAUAUUUUACUCCAAAAAAAGUAUUAUAAAACAAAAGCUGACAAAAAAAAAAAAAAGACAA